AAUGAACGCUGGCGGCGCGCCUAAUACAUGCAAGUCGAGCGAGAAGACGUAGCAAUACGUUUGUAAAGCGGCGAACGGGUGAGGAAUACAUGGGUAACCUACCCUCGAGUGGGGAAUAACUAGCCGAAAGGUUAGCUAAUACCGCGUACGCUUCUUGGACUUCGGUUCAGGGAGGAAAGCGAUACCGUGGGUAUCGCGCUCUUGGAUGGGCUCAUGUCCUAUCAGCUUGUUGGUGGGAACGG
RNAcentral lists this ribosomal RNA (242 nucleotides) under uncultured bacterium. Its description in RNAcentral is "partial 16S ribosomal RNA". It matches the Rfam family "Bacterial small subunit ribosomal RNA", at positions 29 to 263 of the family's 1533-position model. The record is from RNAcentral.